This 468-nucleotide ribosomal RNA is filed under the name uncultured bacterium. RNAcentral describes it as "partial 16S ribosomal RNA". It matches the Rfam family "Bacterial small subunit ribosomal RNA", at positions 28 to 507 of the family's 1533-position model. The record is from RNAcentral.
GACGAACGCUGGCGGCGUGCUUAACACAUGCAAGUCGAACGGAAAGGCCCUGCUUUUGUGGGGUCCGCUGCGGGCGACCGGGUAACUAACCCGUAGGUACCCUACCCUUCCCUUUGGGAUAACUUAAGGAAACUGGGUCUAUUCCGGGAAAGGAUCUCUUGCUGCUGGGUGGGGGUUGGAAGGUUUGGCCGGUUGGGAUUGGACUCGCGGCUCAUCAGCUUGUUGGUGGGGUAGUGGCUUACCAAGGCUUUGACGGGUAGCCGGCCUGGACGGCUGACCGGACACAUUAGGACUGGGAUGAGGCCCAGACUCCUAUGGGAGGCAGGAGUGGGGAAUAGUGUAUAAUGGGAGGAGGGCUGAUGCAGCAACGCCGCGUGCGGGAUGACGGCCUGCGGGUUGUAAACCGCAUUCGCCUGUGACGAAGCGUGAGUGACGGUAAUGGGUAAAGAAGCACCGGCUAACUACGUG